RNAcentral lists this ribosomal RNA (500 nucleotides) under uncultured bacterium. RNAcentral describes it as "bacterial SSU rRNA". It matches the Rfam family "Bacterial small subunit ribosomal RNA", at positions 898 to 1398 of the family's 1533-position model. The record is from RNAcentral.
AACUCAAAGGAAUUGACGGGGACCCGCACAAGCGGUGGAGCAUGUGGUUUAAUUCGAAGCAACGCGAAGAACCUUACCUGAUCUUGACAUCCCGAUGCCAAAGCGCGUAACGCGCUCUUUCUUCGGAACAUCGGUGACAGGUGGUGCAUGGUUGUCGUCAGCUCGUGUCGUGAGAUGUUGGGUUAAGUCCCGCAACGAGCGCAACCCUUAUCUUCAGUAGCCAGCAUUAUGGAUGGGCACUCUGGAGAGACUGCCAGGGAGAACCUGGAGGAAGGUGGGGAUGACGUCAAAUCAUCAUGCCCCUUAUGACCAGGGCUACACACGUGCUACAAUGGCGUAAACAAAGGGAGGCGAACCCGCGAGGGUGGGCAAAUCCCAAAAAUAACGUCUCAGUUCGGAUUGUAGUCUGCAACUCGACUACAUGAAGCUGGAAUCGCUAGUAAUCGCGAAUCAGAAUGUCGCGGUGAAUACGUUCCCGGGUCUUGUACACACCGCCCGUC